CCUACGGGUGGCAGCAGUGGGGAAUCUUGCACACUGGGGGAAACCCUGAUGCAGCACCGCCGCGUGGGUGAAGAAGUAAUUCGUAACGAAAACCUCUAUCAGCAGGGAAGAACCACUAACCUUACGGUCCGCAGACGUUACCUGGUGAAGAACCCCGGGUUACCUACUUGCCAGCAGCCGCGGUAAUACGUAGGGGGCAACCGUUACCCGGAUUUACUGGGUGUAAAGGGGGCGUAGACGGUGGGCCAAGUCUGGAGUGAAAUGCCGCAGCUUAACUGCGGAACUGCUUUGGAAACUGGCGAACUAGAGUGCGGGAGGGGUAAGCGGAAUUCCUAGUGUAGCGGUGAAAUGCGUAGAUAUUAGGAGGAACACCGGUGGCGAAGGCGGCUUACUGGACCGUAACUGACGUUGAGGCUCGAAAGCGUGGGUAUCGAACAGGAUUAGAUACCCCUGUAGUC
Molecule: ribosomal RNA, 458 nt
Filed under: uncultured bacterium
Lineage: Bacteria
Description: partial 16S ribosomal RNA
Rfam family: Bacterial small subunit ribosomal RNA
Source: RNAcentral